UACGUAGGGUGCGAGCGUUAAUCGGAAUUACUGGGCGUAAAGCGUGCGCAGGCGGUUCGUGAUGUCUGGUGUGAAAGCCCCGGGCUUAACCUGGGAAUUGCAUUGGAAACUAGCGGGCUGGAGUGUGGCAGAGGGGGGGUGGAAUUCCACGUGUAGCAGUGAAAUGCGUAGAGAUCAGGAAGAACACCCGUGGCGAAGGCGGCCCACUGGGCCGGACCUGACGCUGAGGCGCGAAGGCGUGGGGAGCGAACGGG
Molecule: ribosomal RNA, 254 nt
Filed under: uncultured bacterium
Lineage: Bacteria
Description: partial 16S ribosomal RNA
Rfam family: Bacterial small subunit ribosomal RNA
Source: RNAcentral